AGUCACCCUCGCUACUUGUUGUGGCGAAGUUUCACCGGGGAGUGAGUGACCUGUCUGCUGUGUGGUUUGCUGUGGCUGCACCUGAUCUCUCUGAAAAUAUGGCUCUUACUGUAGCAAAGAUCUUCUUACCAACAGGUUCCCACACGAGACAAAGACAACAGUGUGGCUUGGAUUACACUACAGGGAAAAGAGACAAUAGAAAUAAUUUGAAGAUAUCGAUGUGCAAUUAUAGAAGAUUGCUCCUACUCACCAUCGUUAUACCAAAUCG
Long non-coding RNA from Eleginops maclovinus (Patagonian blennie), 268 nucleotides. RefSeq lists it as uncharacterized. The record is from RefSeq and is a predicted model, not a curated record. The transcript is spliced from 3 exons. NCBI's taxonomy places the organism in Eukaryota, Metazoa, Chordata, Actinopteri, Perciformes, Eleginopidae.